UUGCUCACUUUGGCAACACACACAGACACAAAAUUGUAAUGAUACACAGAAGAUUAGUAUGGCCUCUGUGCAAGGAUGACAGGCAAUUCAUGAAGCAUUCUAUAUUUUU
Small nuclear RNA from Cercocebus atys (sooty mangabey), 109 nucleotides. NCBI's taxonomy places the organism in Eukaryota, Metazoa, Chordata, Mammalia, Primates, Cercopithecidae. The record is from Ensembl.